This 380-nucleotide ribosomal RNA is filed under the name uncultured eukaryote. RNAcentral's name for it is "partial 18S ribosomal RNA". It matches the Rfam family "Eukaryotic small subunit ribosomal RNA", at positions 592 to 976 of the family's 1831-position model. The record is from RNAcentral.
CAAUAGCGUAUAUUAAAGUUGUUGCGGUUAAAAAGCUCGUAGUUGGAUUUCUGCUGAGAACGACCGGUCCGCCCUUUGGGUGUGUAUCUGGCUCUUUCUUGGCAUCUUCUUGGUGAACGUUGCUGCACUUGACUGUGUGGAGCGCUACCCAGGACUUUUACUUUGAGGAAAUUAGAGUGUUUCAAGCAGGCAUACGCCUUGAAUACAUUAGCAUGGAAUAAUAAGAUAGGACCUCGGUUCUAUUUUGUUGGUUUCUAGAGCUGAGGUAAUGAUUAAUAGGGAUAGUUGGGGGCAUUCGUAUUUAACUGUCAGAGGUGAAAUUCUUGGAUUUGUUAAAGACGGACUACUGCGUAAGCAUUUGCCAAGGAUGUUUUCAUUGA